AAAAAUAAUAAUAAUGAAAAAGUUUGCAAACGUGUCUGUUAGUGACAGAGGACAAACAAUUACAGGUUCAAUGGGCUUGAAACAGGUUGAAUAUCCUGUGUCGCCUGUAACCUAG
Etheostoma spectabile (orangethroat darter) is the source of this 115-nucleotide long non-coding RNA. RefSeq lists it as uncharacterized. The transcript has 3 exons. Lineage: Eukaryota; Metazoa; Chordata; Actinopteri; Perciformes; Percidae. The record is from RefSeq and is a predicted model, not a curated record.